GACGAACGCUGGCGGCGUGCUUAACACAUGCAAGUCGAACGGAAAGGCCCUGCUUUUGUGGGGUGCUCGAGUGGCGAACGGGUGAGUAACACGUGAGUAACCUGCCCUUGACUUUGGGAUAACUUCAGGAAACUGGGGCUAAUACCGGAUAGGAGCUCCUGCUGCAUGGUGGGGGUUGGAAAGUUUCGGCGGUUGGGGAUGGACUCGCGGCUUAUCAGCUUGUUGGUGGGGUAGUGGCUUACCAAGGCUUUGACGGGUAGCCGGCCUGAGAGGGUGACCGGCCACAUUGCGACUGAGAUACGGCCCAGACUCCUACGGGAGGCAGCAGUGGGGAAUAUUGCACAAUGGGCGGAAGCCUGAUGCAGCAACGCCGCGUGCGGGAUGACGGCCUUCGGGUUGUAAACCGCUUUCGCCUGUGACGAAGCGGGAGUGACGGUAAUGGGUCAAGAAGCACCGGCUAACUACGUG
Molecule: ribosomal RNA, 468 nt
Filed under: uncultured bacterium
Lineage: Bacteria
Description: partial 16S ribosomal RNA
Rfam family: Bacterial small subunit ribosomal RNA
Source: RNAcentral